This 163-nucleotide ribosomal RNA is filed under the name Palmatiboea cortusifolia. Its description in RNAcentral is "Didymocarpus cortusifolius 5.8S ribosomal RNA". It matches the Rfam family "5.8S ribosomal RNA". From Rfam's summary of the family: 5.8S ribosomal RNA (5.8S rRNA) is a component of the large subunit of the eukaryotic ribosome. It is transcribed by RNA polymerase I as part of the 45S precursor that also contains 18S and 28S rRNA. The record is from RNAcentral. Lineage: Eukaryota; Viridiplantae; Streptophyta; Magnoliopsida; Lamiales; Gesneriaceae.
GUAACGACUCUCGGCAACGGAUAUCUCGGCUCUCGCAUCGAUGAAGAACGUAGCGAAAUGCGAUACUUGGUGUGAAUUGCAGAAUCCCGUGAACCAUCGAGUCUUUGAACGCAAGUUGCGCCCGAAGCCUUCAGGUUGAGGGCACGUCUGCCUGGGUGUCACG